UACAGAAGCCUCAAGCGUUACCCGGAUUUACUGGGCGUAAAGGGUGUGUAGGUGGUUUUGUUAGUCUUGCGUUAAAUCUUCGAGCUCAACUUGGAGGCUGCGUGAGAAACGGCAUAACUGGAGGAAGUGAGAGGUCUAGGGAACUCAUGGUGUAGGGGUGAAAUCCGUUGAUAUCAUGGGGAACACCAAAUGCAAAGGCACUAGACUGGCACUUUUCUGACACUGAGACACGAAAGCGUGGGUAGCGAAUCGG
Molecule: ribosomal RNA, 253 nt
Filed under: uncultured bacterium
Lineage: Bacteria
Description: partial 16S ribosomal RNA
Rfam family: Bacterial small subunit ribosomal RNA
Source: RNAcentral